CACGAACCGGACAAACGUUAUUCGGAAUCACUGGGCUUAAAGGGUGCGUAGGCGGUCUGACAAGUUGGGUGUGAAAUCCCUCGGCUCAACCGAGGAAUAGCGCUCAAAACUGUUGGACUUGAGGGAGUUAGAGGUAAGCGGAACUUAGGGUGGAGCGGUGAAAUGCGUUGAUAUCCUAAGGAACACCAGUGGCGAAAGCGGCUUACUGGAGCUCUUCUGACGCUGAGGCACGAAAGCUAGGGGAG
RNAcentral lists this ribosomal RNA (245 nucleotides) under uncultured bacterium. RNAcentral's name for it is "partial 16S ribosomal RNA". It matches the Rfam family "Bacterial small subunit ribosomal RNA", at positions 524 to 768 of the family's 1533-position model. The record is from RNAcentral.